UGUAGUCAUAUGCUUGUCUCAAAGAUUAAGCCAUGCAUGUCUAAGUAUAAGCAACUAUACUGUGAAACUGCGAAUGGCUCAUUAAAUCAGUUAUCGUUUAUUUGAUAGUGCCCUUUACUACUUGGAUAACCGUGGUAAUUCUAGAGCUAAUACAUGCAUAAAGCCCCGACUUCUGGAGGGGUGUAUUUAUUAGAUAAAAAACCAAUGCCCUCCGGGGCUGCUUGGUGAUUCAUGAUAACGCAACGAAUCGCAUGGCCUUGCGCCGGCGAUGGUUCAUUCAAAUUUCUGCCCUAUCAACUUUCGAUUGUAGUUUAGUGGACCACAAUGGUUUCAACGGGUAACGGGGAAUG
This 350-nucleotide ribosomal RNA is filed under the name Scolecobasidiella avellanea. Its description in RNAcentral is "SSU rRNA". It matches the Rfam family "Eukaryotic small subunit ribosomal RNA", at positions 21 to 371 of the family's 1831-position model. The record is from RNAcentral. Lineage: Eukaryota; Fungi; Ascomycota.